Molecule: ribosomal RNA, 247 nt
Filed under: Yersinia entomophaga
Lineage: Bacteria; Pseudomonadati; Pseudomonadota; Gammaproteobacteria; Enterobacterales; Yersiniaceae
Description: partial 23S ribosomal RNA
Rfam family: Bacterial large subunit ribosomal RNA
Source: RNAcentral
AUCACUGGUGUUCGGGUUGUCAUGCCAAUGGCAUUGCCCGGUAGCUAAAUGCGGAAAAGAUAAGCGCUGAAAGCAUCUAAGCGCGAAACUUGCCUCAAGAUGAGUCUUCCCUGGGGCUUCAAGCCCCCUGAAGGAACGUUAAAGACUAUGACGUUGAUAGGCUGGGUGUGUAAGUGCAGCGAUGCAUUGAGCUAACCAGUACUAAUGAUCCGUGAGGCUUAACCUUACAACACCGAAGGUGUUUUAG